RNAcentral lists this ribosomal RNA (255 nucleotides) under uncultured bacterium. RNAcentral's name for it is "partial 16S ribosomal RNA". It matches the Rfam family "Bacterial small subunit ribosomal RNA", at positions 524 to 777 of the family's 1533-position model. The record is from RNAcentral.
UACGAAGGGGGCUAGCGUUGCUCGGAAUUACUGGGCGUAAAGGGAGCGUAGGCGGAUAGUUAAGUCAGAGGUGAAAGCCCAGGGCUCAACCUUGGAAUUGCCUUUGAUACUGGCUAUCUUGAGUAUGGGAGAGGUAAGCGGAACUCCGAGUGUAGAGGUGAAAUUCGUAGAUAUUCGGAAGAACACCAGUGGCGAAGGCGGCUUACUGGCCCAUUACUGACGCUGAGGCUCGGAAAGCGUGGGGAGCAAACAGGG